Eupeodes corollae is the source of this 5191-nucleotide RNA transcript. It is a transcript of the gene named signal-induced proliferation-associated 1-like protein 1, with no coding region annotated. NCBI's taxonomy places the organism in Eukaryota, Metazoa, Arthropoda, Insecta, Diptera, Syrphidae. The transcript has 6 exons. The record is from RefSeq and is a predicted model, not a curated record.
GAGAAAUCUCUUUCUAAGAACAAAAACCCAAACAAGAUCUUUGGGUAUUUAAAGUUUGGAUUUUGCAAAUAAAAAUAUCUCAUUUAAUAAAAUAAAUCAUAAAACAGUGAAUUAAAAGUGUAGUUAAAAAGAAGCAUAAUUAAUUCAGAACAACGAGAUUUUAAAUAUGAAAUUGUCAUUUAAAACAAAAUCCCUCCAAAUCUAUUUCAUCAUAAUAAUAUGAGUCAUACAUAAGAACAAACGUAUAUACGCAUCGUACAUAGAAAUAUUAGAAAAGAGUGUUUAUUAAUAAUAAAGUAAGCAUGUACAACUCGACAGAACACGUUACUGGCAAUAAAAGUCUCACAAAUGGAGUAGUAUAUGCAACUCCGCAGAAAAAUCUUGCAAAAGCUGAAUCGAAAGUAAUUGGGAAUUUUACAAAAAAUCAAGAACUUUACGCCCCUUCAAAUCAAUCAAGUUCAUUUGCUAGCAGAAGUCGAAUAACAUCGAACGAGCGAGAUCAAAAUUUUUACCGAAAAACAAAUGUGGGACAUGCGACAAGUUCCCAUGACACAGGACAAAACAAAAACGAUAGCUUUUUCGAUAUGCUUCAAGAUUAUCAACCGGCAGUUCUUGGAGUUAUAGGUACCAAUCAACGAUCUCCUGGACCUGCCGAAUUCAUGCAAGAUAAAGAAAUCAAACACCAGCCCAAUUAUGCCACAAGUAAAGAUACUCAUGAUAAUACAAACCACCAGAAUGAUUCUAGUUGUUCACAUGUUAAGAUUUCACGUGAUCUUAAAGUGAAAAAUAAAAUACAUCGGUUUUUAGUUCAUCCGAAAUCUAAAAGUGAUGACAAUGGUCUAUUAGGCUUAUCAAUAUUGACCAAAAACAUCGCAAUCAGUGAAGACAUCACAAAGCAAACGCAUUCCGUCUCAUUAAUAAAAAGAACCUUUUUGUCACCUGAAGAUAUGCAAGAACAGCAAAGAAAAAGGUCUUUUGGUCAUUAUGAUUGCCAAAGUUUGGCUGCAAUUGUGAACUAUGAAAGAGCCAACAGAAAAAUAUCGAAUAGUAAUAUUCGAUCUUCUGCAGACAUAACAAAGCCUUUAAAAUCAAUCUCCCCCGAAUUAAAGAAUUCCUUUCAAGAAUUGAACCAUGGAAAUGAGCUUUUAGAAAGCUGCUCUCAUUUUUGUAAUGAAAUAGGCGGAGAUAAUGAUGGUCGGUUCGGUUCUAAAAAAUCAAGGGCACUUAGUAAAAGACCAAUAACUCCUUGUAGUGUUUCGAUAUUGGAAUCACUACCAAACGAAACCCUCUGGAGAGUUGGUGUUUGUCCAUUUCAAAGCGACUCUUGCCCCAUCGAAUCUGUCGACCAUGGAGCUCAUUACUACAAGCGUUACUUUUACAAUCAAAAACACGAAAACUGGUUCGGGAUUGACGAUAAUUUAGGUCCAGUUGCUAUUUCAAUUAAAAAGGAAAAAAUUAACGAUGUCUCCAAUGAUCCACAUUCAUCUCAACCACGAUAUCACUUUCGAAUUAUAAUAAGAACUUCGGAGCUUUUAACCCUUCGUGGACUGGUAUUGGAGGAUUGCAUCAUUAAUUCUCGUGUUUCAGCAAAGUCCGCAACCUCCAAAGAACUAGUGGAAUAUAUUGCACCAGAUAUUCAAUUAAAUUGUCUUAGAUUGGGUGUAAGCUCUAAUAAUUCAGAGCAACAAUUACUUAAACUCGAUGAACAGGGUCUACAAAGUAAAUAUAAAGUUGGGAUAUUAUACUGUCGUAGUGGUCAAUCUUCUGAGGAGGAUAUGUACAAUAAUGAGCACGCUGGCCCAGCUUUUACAGAAUUUCUAGAUAUAAUUGGAAAACGUGUAAGACUGAAAGGCUUCCAACAAUACAAAGCUGGGCUUGACAAUAAGUCCGACUCUACAGGAACACACUCUAUUUAUGCAUUUUAUAAGAACUGUGAAAUUAUGUUUCAUGUGUGUACAAUGCUUCCCUUCACUCCAAAUAAUCGACAACAGCUGUUACGCAAAAGGCACAUUGGAAAUGAUAUUGUCACAAUAAUAUUUCAAGAGCCAGGUGCUUUACCUUUUGAUCCCAAUAACAUACGCAGUCAGUUCCAGCAUGUGUUUUUGAUUGUGAGAGCAGUUAAUCCGUGCUCUAACAAUACAACUUACCGCGUAGCGAUAACGCGCUCCAAAGAGGUUCCAGUAUUUGGUCCACCUUUACCAGCUUCAGCACUGUUUUCAAGAAACAAAAUGUUUGCCGAAUUUAUUUUAGCGAAAACAAUUAACGCUGAAAACGCUGCUCAUCGUUCUGACAAAUUUGCUAACUUGGCUAUUAGAACACGCCGAGAGUACUUAAAAGAUCUGUGCAUUAAUUACUGCACGAAUACUUCGAUAGAUCCUGGAAAUAAAUUUUCCAUUUUCCCAAACAGAAAGAAGGAAAAAAUGAAAAUUCAGUUUUACGGCGAUUUAUCCCAACGUGGAGCAAUUUGCUGGCGCAUAAUGCUUCAAGACCAUGGAUUAGAUCAAGAAAGCGAUUGUUUUCUUGGUAUUUCCACAGAGACCUUUGUAAUUAUUGAAGGAUCAUCGAGGACAGUUAUAUUUUCAAUGCCAACUCGUUCCAUUCUCGGUUGGACGAUAUAUGAUGACUCUUUUAGAAUAUUUUAUCAUAACGGUGAAUGUAUAACAUUCAAUAUGUUUUAUAAAGGAGCACGAGAGGAGGAACAUCAGCAAGUAAUUGAGCGAUUGAAUUCGGUUACAUUGGGAAAUGGGGCUUUAGAAUUAAAUAUGAGAAGAAACAUGAUGGGACAGUUGGGUUUUCAUGUGCAGCCAGAUGGUAUAGUAACACAAGUUGAUGCCACCGGACAGGCUUGGGCUUCAGGUAUGCGGCGAGGAUACCGUCUCGUUGAGGUGUGUAAAAUUGUUGUGGCUACUCUUUCGUAUGCAGAAUUGAUUGACCUGUUAAAGACAUCAGCCCAAAUGAAUGCAAUUGUGAUAAAAUCAGUGUCCGAUGGCAACACACGCCUUGGAUGCUUUAAUAAAAAUUGUAAAGUUAAUAUCUUGAGCCAAGAAUUCAUUCAUUCUUCAUCGAAUAAAUUUCUUUUGGAAAAAGAUGGCUAUCGUGUAAAGAGUUUUCUGCGAAAAGAAGCAUCCCAGCAUCCAACACAGAGUUACAAUAGUAGUGGAUCAGGAUCAUAUGAACAACGGUCUCUUCCUCACAAGUCGAAAAAUAACUCAGUUUACAAUACGCAAAGCAGUUGCUUUUCAUCCAAUUCAUUAGGCGAUGAGUACAAAAAAUCAUUGCAGCAUUCCAAUUCAAGUUCACCGCAUUCGCUUCAAAACGGCAAAUGGUACGACACAUUGGAAGAUCCUGAACAUAAUAAAAAAUCUCAAUAUGGAUCAAACCAUCAAUAUUCCCUCAAGUCAUUUGAAAGUUCUUUGAAUUUUAACGAAUCAUCUGGAAUGAAAUUAAAUCCGAACACGUCCCAUUUGACCCCUGGUGAUGGAUCAGAGCUGCAAUCGUGGUUGCAAUCACAAUCAGAUAAUCGAAAAUUGCAAAACCGAAGAGCUGAAUACGAAUUGACUGGAUUUAAGAGUGUUAACUCAUCUCCAAAUGAAAGUUACAACUUCGAUAAGGGUGUCAGUACAAGCUAUUCAGAAUAUGCCGAACACACCAAAAUUUCUGAUACACAAGCAGGGCUCAAAAAUAAAAACAAUUUUCCAGAGCUACCUACUUUUCCAUCUACUUCCACAGCCAAAACAGCUAAAGUUGGCGGCGUCUUAAAUGGUUUUAGUACAUCAAUGAAUAGUUUUCAGAAAAGCACUAGAAAUUACCCCGCAACUAAUCAAUUCCGUCCAGAUUUACUCGAAAUAAUAAGCCCCCAUUGUUUUUCUCACUACGACAGAUUGCAAGCUAAUAUAAUUCCAGUUGUUGAGAGAGAAAGCAAUAUGCGGAUACCAGAUGAUAGUUUAACAUCACCUACAACAAAUAUCCUUAGAAACGUUGAAAAGCAGCAAACGUUUGCCGCUGGCAAUAGCGUUAAAAAGCAUCAGGCCAAUCUGAGUGCCAGUGAGAGUCCGACAAGGCACAAACCAAAAAGCAGUCAGGAUCAUAGUAUUGCGUCUACAGCACUUCCUCUACUGCCAUACUCAAACAAAUUAGACUGGACAACUCUGGUUGACACUGCCACCAAAGCAAUUAUUCUUCAGCACAGGGAUGACAACAGUUGAAAGUAAAACCUUUCUCAUCAGGAAUUUAAUUACGUUUCUGCGAUGUUAAGAAAACAAAUUCUAGAAGACUGAAGAGACAAAAACGAUAUCAAACCGCAAACGGUGGAAAAACGUGAACCUGCUGUUUUCAGAAUUGUUUUGCUUCACUUACUUUGAAAAACAUAUACAAAGUGACAAUUUCAGACAAAAAACGCCCAAAAGUAGAAAAUAUUUCAACCGCUUGUGCCGCGUUACGUUCUCUUUACGAUUGUCGAAAUAAAGGAUGAGCUUAAAAGCAACAUUGUGAUAGGUUGGAAGGGAUUUGUAUGGUUCAACUUUAAACUUCACUCAACGCUAACACAAAGUAUCUUUGUGUUUUCCGCUUAACAGUGCUUUAUCAAUACACAGUGGCUAAAUUUUAAUUCCAAAUAUAAAUCACACUGCCAAAGUCAACACGUCUGUUCUUAUCCAAAGUUUAAAGCACAAAAUCGACUGACGGCAUCUAUUAUUCUUCUACUUAAUAUUGACAUGUAUGAAACAACGAACAUACUCGUGAAAAUCCCCUCUUCUCUUUCUAAUCAGUUACAGCAGUAUAAAAUUUAGGUUAUAUUUGUUUGUGUUUGGUCAAUUGACGGAAUAAGAAUGCAUGUAUGAAAUGCAUGUGUAGGAAGAACAAAGUUCGUUAUUUUUUCUGGGAUUUUAUAUUUAUAUUUAUUUUUCCUAAAAAUAUUAUGUAAGCAACCUCACAAAUGUAAUCAGCAUAGCUUAAGCCGAAUAGCGAUGUAAAGAUCCUUAAAUAAAGAAAAACUCAUUUUAGACUUAAGACCCUUAUAACACAAAUGUAAACAAAAUAAACAGAGCCAAUCUAACGAAGCAAAAUCCAUUUUUAGCUAGUGAAUAAAAAUACUAGAGUUAAGAAAUAAUUUAAUUACUGUAAAUAUUUAUUAUUAAUAAACUUAUGUAAAAAUAAUUUAGCAUAAAUAAAAAAAUGCUGUAAUUAAAAACAA